Molecule: small nucleolar RNA, 101 nt
Organism: Nematolebias whitei (Rio pearlfish)
Lineage: Eukaryota; Metazoa; Chordata; Actinopteri; Cyprinodontiformes; Rivulidae
Product: small nucleolar RNA U13
Exons: 1
Source: RefSeq, a predicted model, not a curated record
AUUCUUCCGGUUCAAGAGCAUGAUGAUCGGUGCGUUCACGGACUCUCCGUGACAGGUGCGACCUCUAACUUGUUACGACCUGCGCCUCAGCCCUUCUGAUC